UUUGAUGUGCUUUGGGGUUGAAAAAGCCCUUAUGUGAUCCCACGCUUGGAUACUUGGGAGUGAAGAUGUGUUAUUUCACCCACCGACUCGUUCCACACGACCAAGGCCUGUGCCUGCCCUGAGGGCGAGUUGGUUGAGCCUUGUACAGACAACUCUCAGAGCGUGGGCCUGGGCCGAACCUUUCCCUGUGAGCAGCAGCAUCAGCGUCUAGAACGACGGCCCUCCCGGUCCACGGUGGAAGGUGCGGAGCUCCCGUGGUGUGCUGGCAGCGAUUCGCAGAAGGGAGAUGGAGGGCCACAGGGCAGGUGCUCGCACGGAGUCAUCGAGGUCCAGGGACACCUUCCUCCCAGGUGAGCUCACAAAGGCACCACACAUUAAUCCUGGGAGACAACCAUUCUGAUGUGGCUAAGGCCAUCGACAGGGAACAUGAUUGUCAGGAAACCUCAACUUUUCG
Molecule: long non-coding RNA, 454 nt
Filed under: Homo sapiens (human)
Lineage: Eukaryota; Metazoa; Chordata; Mammalia; Primates; Hominidae
Description: non-protein coding lnc-C6orf120-1:2
Source: RNAcentral